GUGCUCACUUAAGCAGCACAUAUACUAAAAUUGGAACUGUGCAGAAGAUUAGUGUGGCCCCUGCACAAGGAUGACACAGAAAUUCCUGGUGUUUGAUAUUUCU
Molecule: small nuclear RNA, 103 nt
Filed under: Castor canadensis (American beaver)
Lineage: Eukaryota; Metazoa; Chordata; Mammalia; Rodentia; Castoridae
Source: RNAcentral